AAAGUUUUAGCUUAAUUAAAGUGGCUGUUUUGCGUACAGCAGAUGUGGGUUAGUGUCCUGCAAGUUUUA
This 69-nucleotide transfer RNA is filed under the name Paraliparis meridionalis. RNAcentral's name for it is "tRNA-Ala". It matches the Rfam family "tRNA". Rfam says of the family: Transfer RNA (tRNA) molecules are approximately 80 nucleotides in length. Their secondary structure includes four short double-helical elements and three loops (D, anti-codon, and T loops). Lineage: Eukaryota; Metazoa; Chordata; Actinopteri; Perciformes; Liparidae. The record is from RNAcentral.